UACGGGGGGAGCAAGCGUGGUUCGGAUUUACUGGGCGUAAAGGGCGCGUAGGCGGCCAGCGCAAGUCAGUUGUGAAAUCUCCGGGCUUAACUCGGAAAGGUCAACUGAUACUGCGCGGCUAGAGUGCAGAAGGGGCAACUGGAAUUCUCGGUGUAGCGGUGAAAUGCGUAGAUAUCGAGAGGAACACCUGCGGCGAAGGCGGGUUGCUGGGCUGACACUGACGCUGAUGCGCGAAAGCCAGGGGAGCGAACGGG
This 254-nucleotide ribosomal RNA is filed under the name uncultured bacterium. RNAcentral's name for it is "partial 16S ribosomal RNA". It matches the Rfam family "Bacterial small subunit ribosomal RNA", at positions 524 to 776 of the family's 1533-position model. The record is from RNAcentral.